CCAAAUUCUGUUCCAUCCCAGGCUACACGAAACAUUUUCCUGCUCAGCCCUGACCAGUGCCUCACUUAAACUGAAAGCUCUUUAAUCAGUAGAGAAGUCAGUCACUUCAGCCCCUGAAGCAAAGUACUGGAGAGUUUCCCCCAACAGCUGAAUUUGUUCCAGCAACAAAGAUUGGUUCCUCGACCCACCAGGGGCUCCAGAACAACAAAGGACGGUGCAUCAGCACGGGCUGUGUAAGCAGCAAAGAUUGGUCCCCAUGACUCACCAAUCACUCCAGGACCAGGAAGACCGGUGCCUCAGCACAGGCUGCAUAAGAUCAGAACAUAAGACAGGCCAGACUAGGUCAGACCAAUGGUCCAUCAAACCCAGCAUCCUGUCUAUCGACAGUGGCCAAUGCCAGGUAUGUCCGAAUGAAGGAACAGAAGAGUGGAAUCAUCAAGUGCCCUGUUGAGCAGUCCCAGCUUCUGGCAGUCAGAGGUUUUGGAAUACCCAGAACAUGGGGUUUGCAUCCCUGAACAUCUUGCUAAUAGCCCUCAAUGGACCUAUCCUCCAGGAACUUAACAAAUUC
Non-coding RNA from Chelonoidis abingdonii (Abingdon island giant tortoise), 568 nucleotides. Lineage: Eukaryota; Metazoa; Chordata; Testudines; Testudinidae. The record is from RefSeq and is a predicted model, not a curated record.